RNAcentral lists this ribosomal RNA (1346 nucleotides) under uncultured bacterium. RNAcentral describes it as "partial 16S ribosomal RNA". It matches the Rfam family "Bacterial small subunit ribosomal RNA", at positions 28 to 1381 of the family's 1533-position model. The record is from RNAcentral.
GACGCAUUCUGGCGGCGUGCUUAACACAUGCAAGUCGAACGGAAAGGCCCUGCUUUUGUGGGGUGCUCGAGUGGCGAACGGGUGAGUAACACGUGAGUAACCUGCCCUUGACUUUGGGAUAACUUCAGGAAACUGGGGCUAAUACCGGAUAGGAGCUCCUGCUGCAUGGUGGGGGUUGGAAAGUUUCGGCGGUUGGGGAUGGACUCGCGGCUUAUCAGCUUGUUGGUGGGGUAGUGGCUUACCAAGGCUUUGACGGGUAGCCGGCCUGAGAGGGUGACCGGCCACAUUGGGACUGAGAUACGGCCCAGACUCCUACGGGAGGCAGCAGUGGGGAAUAUUGCACAAUGGGCGGAAGCCUGAUGCAGCAACGCCGCGUGCGGGAUGACGGCCUUCGGGUUGUAAACCGCUUUCGCCUGUGACGAAGCGUGAGUGACGGUAAUGGGUAAAGAAGCACCGGCUAACUACGUGCCAGCAGCCGCGGUGAUACGUAGGGUGCGAGCGUUGUCCGGAUUUAUUGGGCGUAAAGGGCUCGUAGGUGGUUGAUCGCGUCGGAAGUGUAAUCUUGGGGCUUAACCCUGAGCGUGCUUUCGAUACGGGUUGACUUGAGGAAGGUAGGGGAGAAUGGAAUUCCUGGUGGAGCGGUGGAAUGCGCAGAUAUCAGGAGGAACACCAGUGGCGAAGGCGGUUCUCUGGGCCUUUCCUGACGCUGAGGAGCGAAAGCGUGGGGAGCGAACAGGCUUAGAUACCCUGGUAGUCCACGCUGUAAACGGUGGGUACUAGGUGUGGGGUCCAUUCCACGGGUUCCGUGCCGUAGCUAACGCUUUAAGUACCCCGCCUGGGGAGUACGGCCGCAAGGCUAAAACUCAAAGGAAUUGACGGGGCCCCGCACAAGCGGCGGAGCAUGCGGAUUAAUUCGAUGCAACGCGUAGAACCUUACCUGGGUUUGACAUGGAUCGGGAGUGCUCAGAGAUGGGUGUGCCUCUUUUGGGGUCGGUUCACAGGUGGUGCAUGGCUGUCGUCAGCUCGUGUCGUGAGAUGUUGGGUUAAGUCCCGCAACGAGCGCAACCCUUGUUCACUGUUGCCAGCACGUUAUGGUGGGGACUCAGUGGAGACCGCCGGGGUCAACUCGGAGGAAGGUGGGGAUGACGUCAAGUCAUCAUGCCCCUUAUGUCCAGGGCUUCACGCAUGCUACAAUGGCUGGUACAGAGAGUGGCGAGCCUGUGAGGGUGAGCGAAUCUCGGAAAGCCGGUCUCAGUUCGGAUUGGGGUCUGCAACUCGACCUCAUGAAGUCGGAGUCGCUGGUAAUCGCAGAUCAGCAACGCUGCGGUGAAUACGUUCCCGGGGCU